RNAcentral lists this unclassified non-coding RNA (262 nucleotides) under uncultured fungus. RNAcentral's name for it is "partial contains 5.8S ribosomal RNA, internal transcribed spacer 2, and large subunit ribosomal RNA". The stretch from base 1 to 52 matches the Rfam family "5.8S ribosomal RNA", at positions 103 to 154 of the family's 154-position model. Lineage: Eukaryota; Fungi. The record is from RNAcentral.
AACGCACAUUGCGCCCUUUGGUAUUCCAAAGGGCAUGCCUGUUCGAGCGUCAUUUGUACCCUCAAGCUUUGCUUGGUGUUGGGCGUCUUUUUGUCCCCCCCCCCUUGCGGGGAGACUCGCCUUAAAGUCAUUGGCAGCCGGCCUACUGGUUUCGGAGCGCAGCACAAGUCGCGCUCUCUUCCAGCCCCAAGGUCUAGCAUCCAACAAGCCUUUUUUUUCAACUUUUGACCUCGGAUCAGGUAGGGAUACCCGCUGAACUUAA